Molecule: unclassified non-coding RNA, 3579 nt
Filed under: Hevea brasiliensis (rubber tree)
Lineage: Eukaryota; Viridiplantae; Streptophyta; Magnoliopsida; Malpighiales; Euphorbiaceae
Source: RNAcentral
GUCGAACCUCAACCGGUCCAUUGUCAAGUCCACUCACUCUCUUUUAACUAAGUUUGGCUGGGCAUCGAUUGAAUAAGUUUUUAGCUAGCUUAAGAAGAUUUGUUAGGGUGGAUUAAUCCAGUAUUAGGAGUAGUGUUUGAAGUUGGUGCAGUGGUAGAAGUCCUUCAUCGUCAAGAAUGUCGUAGCUGCUGCCAUUGUGUUGAAGCUGAGCUAGGGUUACGGAGUCAGUAAUGGCCGAUUUUCAGACCUCGACUCACAAAGCCAAAUGGAUCUUCACCUCUCAACAGCUGGUUGAGAAGCACAAAGUUACUAAUCAAAGAGCCAAGCAAAUGCUGGAGAAGUAUGGAACAACAAGAAUGGAAGUAGAUGUUGAUGGAUCACUGUCAUACCCUGAACCUCAAGUUAACGCAGCAGACAAUGCUGAUAAGCAUUCUCGUCCAAAAUCGCUCAGUGUUGAAGAAGAACAAUUUAUGCGAGUAUACUAUGAAUAUAAACUUCGAGAAGUGUGCAGUGCCUUUUACUUUCCUCAUAAAAUUCAGGCAACAGCACUCAUAUACUUCAAGAGGUUUUAUCUUCAAUGGUCGGUCAUGGAACAUGAUCCAAAACAUGUAAUGUUAACCUGUAUAUAUGCAGCUUGUAAGAUCGAAGAAAAUCAUGUAUCAGCAGAGGAGCUUGGUAAGGGGAUUUCACAGGAUCAUCAAAUGAUUCUCAAUUAUGAGAUGAUAGUGCUCCAGAGCUUGGAAUUUGAUCUUAUUGUAUAUGCUCCAUAUCGUUCAGUUGAAGGUUUUAUCAAUGAUAUGGAGGAAUUCUGUCAUGCAGCGGAUGACCAAAUUCAAAUGCUGAAGGUAAUUUCCCUUGUAUUCUUAUGAUUAGAUUUCAUGUUUGAGUACUAUUUUCGUUUGAUCAUUUUAGUUCAUUUACCCUUAAAAUUGAAUAUUGAAAAAAGUUCCCUAAAUGUUUGAACACAUUGAUAGAAAUGAAUUUCUAUAAAUGGUUGUCAAUGAUGCUUCUCUUGUUUAUUGGAAUGUGCAACAGUUCUAUCUAUUCUUAUGGGCUUAAAUCAUAGUUAGUAGAUUCACUCACCUCCCUGGGUGCCACUAUCUGGGUUGCACAUUCCAACUCACGGCACAUUUGCGUCCCAAACCGCCACGGAUGCAAUUUGGAAAUAGGGGUUCAGAAGAAUAAGAAGAACUUGUUUUUUGGAAAUACAAACACUACUAAUUACUAAUUAUAUUUUUUGGAUAAUUUAAAAUAGUAAUAAUAAAAGGACUUUAAAAAUUAGAAAAACAAAAAAUGAAUUGUGCCUUAUAAAUAUAAUUCACGUACAGAACAAAUAUGAUUUGCCUACCGCAAGCCAAAUUGGUGUAUUAACAAAGCCUACCCCAGUGUAUCCUAUAUUUAGUUAAGUGGCGUACCAUGCACCAAAUACCCAUACCACGAUCCGAGGGUACUGCAUUCCUGGUAACUAUGUCUAGCUUUUCCUUUCUGCCAUUGAUUGUUGGAUUUGAUCUGAAUCAAUAUUUUAUAGGAUUUGCAAGCAACUGCAACAGCGGAGGUUGACAAAAUCAUGUUUACUGAUGCACCACUGCUUUUUCCUCCUGGGCAGGUAUUCUUUAUAGAAACUUGUUAUUGAUAUUGAAUAUAAUGAUCUCUUUCCAUCUUGGGCAAGUGAAAUUUCUAUUAAAAGCAAAGAAGAUAAAGCAUAGAAAUAAGCAACCAGGAUCAAAAGCUUAAGCCAGAAGCACCAUUCUUGAUCCAACAUAACCAGUGGAGUCAUUCUGAACAUAAGCAGUGGUGAAUUGCUUAAUUAUAAUGGAAGAUCUUUUUGCAAGUAGCAAAUAACUUCAAUGAGUGAAGCUUCAUAUUUUGAGAAAGCUUCCUAUGUAAUAUUUAGUUCAUCUUUUAAUUGCUUUCUAUGUUACACUCACUGUUCCACAUUUUUUUUCCGGGGCAUUGCCCCAAAUUUAUUUGAGGAAAGAUUGUGUCACACCAUAUACAGAAUUGAAUGGUUGAUUACAUGUAGCUUGACUUAAGCUAUUUUGUCCUGCCAUGUAAUAGCAUCGUCACGUUUAGCAUUACUUUUUAUUCAAUUUGGUGCAGUCAGCUUUGGCUGCUUUAGAAAGAAUAUCACUCUGUGGUAAUUGACUGGUUGAUUUGUUGUGGCUUGGCUUAAGAUGGUUUGUCCUUUCAUGCAAUGGCUUCAUCUUAUUUGACUUGACUGAUUCAUCAAUUUGAUGCAGUUGGCAUUGGCUGCUUUGCGAAUUGCAAAUGAGAUGCACCAGGUUCUUGAUUUUGAGAGGUUAGGACAGUGAUGGUUAUUUUUCUGCUACAUUGCUCCCUCCUAUUCUCCCCCACACCAUGUGUGUUUUAGCAACAUUUGCAUUGCAGUUAUGGACUUAUUGGUUAGAUUGGGAUUUAUUUGAAGCUCAACUCUUGUUUUUGGCCAAAAAAUUGACAGGGAAUGGAAAUUUAUUUAGCACUUGCUUACUUCUUUGCAGAUACCUCAGGAACAUUCUUUCUCGUCAGAAUUCUGUGCACACGAUUUCAGAUCUCAUUGAAUCUCUAGAUGCCAUAGAUUCUUGGGUAAAGAAGUACAAGUUCCCUACAGAAAAGGACAUGAAGCACAUAAACCGGAAGCUGAAGUCUUGCUGGGGUCAUGGCUCCCAUGACGAGUACUUUUCCAUAUACUUGCUUAUAUCGGUAGUUUAGUGCCUGCCUCUGUUAUUUUUUUACAUUGUCGAUUUAUUGCUUGGCAACAGUAAGAAACGGGAGAAGAAAUCAAAAAACAAGUCCCAUAAGAGUUCAAAUGAAAUGCAAAAUGGCCCAUCCCUUGCAUAAUUGUAAGUUCUGCCUUGUAUGUUGGAGUUUUCUCUUUUCUUAAAAUGAACCGAGUUGUUUUAGCACCAAAGGCUUUGUUUGGCUGCCAUAUUGUUGCUAGAUAGCUGUAUGAGGAAACUUCAUUCACUCCCUUAGGCAAUCCUCUUGUAAAAUAAUUUCUUACAGAAGUACAGGAGGGUUCUUUAUGUCACAAUUUGCAUAUCUUGACUGGUGGUUGGACCAUCUUAGAGGGGGUUGAACUUUUGGUUUUAUUGACUUUGAUUGUUAUGUGAUUUCAGAUACAUGGACGGACCUUCAGUCUUUUGCUGGUAAAUUUGCAUCUGGGUUGGGAGAGGAAUUAUGCCAGUGAAAAUGAAAUUUUGAUGUAUUAGAUGGCCUUGAAUACAAAGCCAUGAUUUUCAAUGGAUCUUCUAAAAAGCAAGGAAAAUCUGUGUUUUUUACUUCCAAGAAAUACAAGAUGCAUGAUCCCAGAAUUCUUAGCUUGCAGUUCUGUAAAAUUGUAGAGAUUGAAGUUCAUUUCAAGUUAAAAGGACAAUUUUGCACUAGGAAUGAUCUGAGUAAAAUUUUCUCUGUUGUCAUCUGCAUUCUACUGCCUGUGAAGAAAAAGGUAGCAAUGUUUUCUUCAAGUCUUUUACUGGAUUAAGUCCAUUAUGAGAAAAAUGGACAAAAAGCAUGUUUAACACUAGUUCUCCGUGUGUGUGUAGCAUAUAUAUAUAUACAUAUCUCCUUCUCUGUAUGGCU